UAGAAAUCAACAUCCAAUUUAGUGCAGGAAGCCAAUUCCUCCUCUGGUGACACAGAUUUUUCGUCGCUAGCAACUCCAGGUUCUUCAAUCGCCGAUUUAGAAUCCACUUGCUUAAUUACCUCCUCUUGCAAUUCUGGUGACUAGGAUGCAGCUCGAGAAUCACCCAUAUUACGCGAAUCUUCACAAGGUUCCACAUUAUAUGUAGAAAUUUUCUCCACUUUUGGUGAAAGAAGUUCCAUUUUCACAGGCUGCUCGCUUUCAUCUUUAACUAAAGAAGCAAUUGAACUGUUU
Molecule: unclassified non-coding RNA, 291 nt
Filed under: Hevea brasiliensis (rubber tree)
Lineage: Eukaryota; Viridiplantae; Streptophyta; Magnoliopsida; Malpighiales; Euphorbiaceae
Source: RNAcentral